This 253-nucleotide unclassified non-coding RNA is filed under the name uncultured Gammaproteobacteria bacterium. RNAcentral's name for it is "contains 16S-23S intergenic spacer region". It matches the Rfam family "Bacterial small subunit ribosomal RNA", at positions 524 to 776 of the family's 1533-position model. The record is from RNAcentral. Lineage: Bacteria; Pseudomonadati; Pseudomonadota; Gammaproteobacteria.
UACAGAGGGUGCGAGCGUUAAUCGGAUUUACUGGGCGUAAAGCGUGCGUAGGCGGCUUUUUAAGUCGGAUGUGAAAUCCCCGAGCUUAACUUGGGAAUUGCAUUCGAUACUGCUUGACUAGAGUACGGUAGAGGGCAGUGGAAUUUCCUGUGUAGCGGUGAAAUGCGUAGAUAUAGGAAGGAACACCGGAGGCGAAGGCGGCUUACUGGCUCGGAACUGACGCUGAGGUGCGAAAGCGUGGGGAGCAAACAGG